This 386-nucleotide small RNA is filed under the name Pan troglodytes (chimpanzee). Its description in RNAcentral is "retained intron". The record is from RNAcentral. Lineage: Eukaryota; Metazoa; Chordata; Mammalia; Primates; Hominidae.
CCUCCCUGAGUCUAUUAAUAUCACUGUGUUGAAUUUCACAACAGUUUGGCACUUACAGCGAAUCUGAGAGGAAAACCGAGGAGUACGAUACUCAGGCCAUGAAGUACUUGUCAUACCUGCUGUACCCUCUCUGUGUCGGGGGUGCUGUCUAUUCACUCCUGAAUAUCAAAUAUAAGAGCUGGUACUCCUGGUUAAUCAACAGCUUCGUCAACGGGGUCUAUGCCUUUGGUUUCCUCUUCAUGCUGCCCCAGCUCUUUGUGAACUACAAGGUAAGGCGGUGUGUGCUGCCCGCGGCCCGGCCCCCGUCUCCUGUGCUGCCCACAGCUGACCUGGGCCUGUCUCUCCUGUUGCAGUUGAAGUCAGUGGCACAUCUGCCCUGGAAGGCC